GGUCAAGCGUUAAGAGCGCAGGGUGGAUGCCUUGGCACUAAGAGCCGAUGAAAGACGUGAUAAGCUGCGAAAAGCUUCGGGGAGGAGCAAAUAUCCAAUGAUCCGGAGAUAUCUGAAUGGGGAAACCCGGCUGAGCAAACCUCAGUCAGCGUAUGGUGAAUCCAUAGCCAUGCGUGGGGAACCGCCUGAACUGAAACAUCUAAGUAGGGCGAGGAAAAGAAAGAAAACUCGAUUUCCAAAGUAGCGGCGAGCGAAAUGGAAAGAGGCCAAACCGGAGUGCGUGCACUCCGGGGUUCGGACCGCAUAAUUGAUUCUGUGAUUCUAGUGGAACGGUUUUGGGAAAGCAGACCAGAGAGGGUGAAAGUCCCGUACACGAAAGGAAAGCAGACAUGGCGGGAUCCAGAGUACCGCGAGACACGUGGAACCUUGCGGGAACAAGCGGGGACCACCCCGUAAGCCUAAAUACUCCUUAGUGACCGAUAGCGCAUAGUAC
This 493-nucleotide non-coding RNA is filed under the name Lachnoclostridium sp. An131. RNAcentral describes it as "Bacterial large subunit ribosomal RNA". It matches the Rfam family "Bacterial large subunit ribosomal RNA", at positions 1 to 501 of the family's 2925-position model. Lineage: Bacteria; Bacillati; Bacillota; Clostridia; Lachnospirales; Lachnospiraceae. The record is from Rfam by way of RNAcentral.